RNAcentral lists this transfer RNA (73 nucleotides) under Lachnospiraceae bacterium. Its description in RNAcentral is "tRNA-Val". It matches the Rfam family "tRNA". Rfam says of the family: Transfer RNA (tRNA) molecules are approximately 80 nucleotides in length. Their secondary structure includes four short double-helical elements and three loops (D, anti-codon, and T loops). The record is from RNAcentral. Lineage: Bacteria; Bacillati; Bacillota; Clostridia; Lachnospirales; Lachnospiraceae.
GGGGUCUUAGCUCAGCUGGGAGAGCAUCUGCCUUACAAGCAGAGGGGCACAGGUUCGAGCCCUGUAGGCCCCA